CCCUUAGUUAUCCUAGGCCGUACGCGUGUUACAAUGACUUUUUCAGCAAGUUCUCCUGGCCCGAGAGGGUGCGGGUAAUCUGAAAUCAAAGUCGUGUUAGGGAUAGAUCUUUGCAAUUAUAGAUCUUGAACGAGGAUUUUGUAGUAAGUGCGCGUCAUCACCGCGUACUGACUGCGUCCCUGCUGUUUGUACACACCGCCCGUCGCUUCUACCGAUUGAAUGUUCCGGUGAGUAAUUUGGACCCGGGGGGGCUUGCUCCUCUGGGGAAGUUUCGCAAACCUAUGCAUUUAGAGGAAGAAGAAGUCGUAACA
RNAcentral lists this ribosomal RNA (311 nucleotides) under uncultured eukaryote. RNAcentral's name for it is "partial 18S ribosomal RNA". It matches the Rfam family "Eukaryotic small subunit ribosomal RNA", at positions 1470 to 1796 of the family's 1831-position model. The record is from RNAcentral.